GAGUUUGAUCAUGGCUCAGGAUGAACGCUGGCGGCGUGCCUAAUACAUGCAAGUCGAGCGAACAGACGGGGAGCUUGCUCCCCUGACGUUAGCGGCGGACGGGUGAGUAACACGUGGGUAACCUACCUAUAAGACUGGAAUAACUCCGGGAAACCGGGCUAAUGCCCGAUAACAUGUUGGACCGCAUGGUCCUACAGUGAAAGACGGUCUUGCUGUCACUUAUAGGUGGACCCG
RNAcentral lists this ribosomal RNA (234 nucleotides) under uncultured microorganism. Its description in RNAcentral is "partial 16S ribosomal RNA". It matches the Rfam family "Bacterial small subunit ribosomal RNA", at positions 9 to 233 of the family's 1533-position model. The record is from RNAcentral.